CCUACGGGAGGCAGCAGUAGGGAAUAUUGCUCAAUGGGGGAAACCCUGAAGCAGCAACGCCGCGUGGAGGAUGAAGGUUUUCGGAUUGUAAACUCCUUUUGUUAGAGAAGAUAAUGACGGUAUCUAACGAAUAAGCUACGGCUAAUUCCGUGCCAGCAGCCGCGGUAAUACGGCGGGUGCAAGCGUUACUCGGAAUAACUGGGCGUAAAGAGCGCGUAGGCGGGAUAGCAAGUCAGAUGUGAAAUCCUAUGGCUUAACCAUAGAACUGCAUUUGAAACUGUUAUUCUAGAGUAUGGGAGAGGUAGGUGGAAUUCGUGGUGUAGGGGUAAAAUCCGUAGAGAUCAAGAAGAAUACUGAUUGCGAAGGCGACCUACUAGAACAUAACUGACGCUGAUGCGCGAAAGCGUGGGGAGCAAACAGGAUUAGAUACCCCAGUAGUC
RNAcentral lists this ribosomal RNA (440 nucleotides) under uncultured bacterium. RNAcentral's name for it is "partial 16S ribosomal RNA". It matches the Rfam family "Bacterial small subunit ribosomal RNA", at positions 338 to 795 of the family's 1533-position model. The record is from RNAcentral.